GAGGGUAUAGCUCAGUGGUAGAGCAUGUGCCUAGCAUGCAUGAGGUUCUGGGUUUGAUCCCCAGUAUCUCCG
Molecule: transfer RNA, 72 nt
Filed under: Camelus bactrianus (Bactrian camel)
Lineage: Eukaryota; Metazoa; Chordata; Mammalia; Artiodactyla; Camelidae
Also listed under: 2 other names
Rfam family: tRNA
About the family: Transfer RNA (tRNA) molecules are approximately 80 nucleotides in length. Their secondary structure includes four short double-helical elements and three loops (D, anti-codon, and T loops).
Source: Rfam by way of RNAcentral